GCGGAGGGAUCAUUACAGAGUUCUAAAAAGACUCCCAAAACCAUUGUGAACGCACCGUUAGACGUUGCCUCGGCGGGCGGCCCCUCCCUGGGGCCGCUGCCUCCCUCGCGGGGGGUGCCCGCCGGCGUACCAAAACUCUUUUGUAUUUUAGUGGCCUCUCUGAGAAAACAAGCAAAUAAGUUAAAACUUUCAACAACGGAUCUCUUGGUUCUGGCAUCGAUGAAGAACGCAGCGAAAUGCGAUAAGUAAUGUGAAUUGCAGAAUUCAGUGAAUCAUCGAAUCUUUGAACGCACAUUGCGCCCGCCAGUACUCUGGCGGGCAUGCCUGUUCGAGCGUCAUUUCAACCCUCAAGCCCCGCUUGGUGUUGGGGUCCUACGGCUGCCGUAGGCCCUGAAAGCUAGUGGCGGGCUCGCUAUAACUCCGAGCGUAGUAGUAAAAUAUCUCGCUAGGGAGGUGUCGCGGGUUCCGGCCGUGAAAGCCCCAUCUUUUACACAAGGUUGACCUCGGAUCAGGUAGGAAUACCCGCUGAACUUAAGCAUAUCAAUAAGCGGAGGA
Molecule: ribosomal RNA, 555 nt
Filed under: Coniochaeta savoryi
Lineage: Eukaryota; Fungi; Ascomycota; Sordariomycetes; Coniochaetales; Coniochaetaceae
Description: eukaryotic LSU rRNA
Rfam family: 5.8S ribosomal RNA (bases 185-338)
Source: RNAcentral